GAAGUUUCGUAGGAAGAGUUGUUGGGAAAUUUGGGGCAUACAAGUCGCUGCCAAUUAGUUGAUAGGAAAUUGACUGUACGUGGAAAUAUGUACACGAAAACCUAAUAAAAAAAUUUAGGGUUCUUUAGAUACAAGUCUAUGCAACACUUAUUUUCUUGACAAAAACCCAUUUCAUUUUAAACAUCCAAAUAAAACCCAAAUUUGAAGUAGACUGCCAUGUAAACAAAUAAAUACCUAUUAUUUUCAAACUAUUUACAAUUGUGCCACAACACUCUAAUUAUGUUAAUGAAUUUAAUUAUCCACCAUAAUUGUGAGACAUAAGUGCCUUAUUAUUAUAAAAUUAUCUACUUUAUACUUCUCUUACCAUCAUAUAUUUCAUUUCUUUUAUUUGUUUGACAAUCAUUGUUGGUAAAUUAUUUUGCAUGUAUGUAUUAGACACAUUUUGUUAAAAUUAUAUAUAUGCGUACAAAUAAUUUAUCUAUAUUUUUAUGUAAAAUAAUAUGCAAUUAAUUAAUUUGAAUCAAUUGGCAAAAAACAUUUAUUUAUUUUGUAGGUAAAUUAUUUUUGAUGUGAUAUUACAUAUGUACUAGCCACAUUUUGUUAUUAUUAUAUAGAGUGUGCAAUCAAUCGACAUUUUUUUAUUUUGUAGGUAAAUUAUUUUGCAUGUAGGUAAAUUGUUAUAUAUAUAUAUAUAUAUUGCAAAAUAUUGGUAUUUAAUUAAUUUUGAAUAAAAAAUAUUUAUUUAUUUUGUAGGUAAAUUAUUUUACAUAUAUCAUUACAUAAUUUACUAGGAACUUAUAUUGUUAUAUAUGUUGGGCAAAAUAAUUUACUUAUGUUACAUUUAAAAUAUUGAUAAUUUUGAAUAAAUUAACUUUUUUUAUAUUUGUAGGAUAUACUAAUUUACUUGUUAGCAUCAUGUGAAAACAACUAUAUAAGGAACAUUGGUAUCAUGUAAACAUUUAAUUGAAUGAAAUAAUGUAAAAUAAAUGGAGAUAAUAAGUGAGAGACCCAAAGUAAGUGUUAUUAGGGGUAAUUUAGACAUCCAAAAAUACAAAUUUUGCCAAGUGAAACUUAAUUAUGGAUAUUGCUUAGUUGGAGCCUAGUCAUUGGGUUUUUGUUAGAGAAAUUUAUCAUGAUGGGUUUUAAUUAAAGAAAAUUGAAUUGCAAGGAGUGUACUCAUAUUUUCAGAAAAAAGGUAAUUAGUGAGGGGUUUAUAUUGUUAAUUUGUGGUCGAUUGAGUAGGUGCGUGGAAGAUAUUUGCUUAUGGGGUGUGUUUAAUUAGUUAACCGGAUCAAAUCAUUAUUUACUGAUUAAUUGGGUGGGGUUUGAACUUGUUUUUAACUGUCUUAUUGUUGCUUUCGUCACUGGCCCUAAGCAAAUGCCACCUCCGGCCGACGUCGACAUGUUAAGGUACGCGGUAUCAUUUUCAAUCCUUGUACAUGACAUUGGCUUACAAUAUGGUUAAUUUCUUGAUUUAGAAAGAUGAUGCUUACAUGAUAAUUUAGAAAGAUCAUGCUUACAUUGUAAUUUAGAAAGAUGAUGCUUGCAUGAACCAGGCCUUGCAUAUAUAGGUACAAGAAAUUGAGAUUUAAAAUCCAACUUUUUAGUAUAAGGUUUAUCUCUUGUUUUAACGUAUGAUAUGAUAUUGUUAUUGUGUGAUAACAUUACACCAAUAGUUGAGAAUCACUUAUGUAUAUGGGUAACUGCCUCUAGCAUUUUUCUUGUUUGAUCAUAGAAUGUUAUUGUAGGAUACAAUUGGAAGUCACUCAUGUGCACGAGUGACUAUGCUCGCACUUUUCAUGUCUGAUAAUAAUUAGACCGUUAGGUUGAAAAUCUUAAUUAAUUACUAAUUUAGUGUUCUAAUAAAGCACUUACAACUAAAAGAACAUGUAACUCAAUAACAUGCAUGUGUGCAUCCUUUUAACCGUAACACUCUAAAAUGACUUCAGAAAAAUGAUGAGUGUGUUCACACUAAUUUUUAAUUAUUUAAGCUGGGAAAUAAAAUUCCUCAUUUGCCUUUUCAUUUGACAGGAAAAUUGACAGAGUCAGUUGACAAAAUUGAUCUGUAGUACAACGUGGGUCAUAUUCUAAGGACCACAAAUAUAUAGUGUAAGGCGGUAAUUAGCCUUUGCAUAGAUAAAACUACAACCCAGGUUAUAAUUUAGGUCAAAAAAAAAAAAAAAUGGUAACAAAAACAUCAUAGAUGCUAUAGAGAAGCACUUAUACGCUACUUUCACUACAACUUUUAGUGAAGAAUUAGGCAAUGUGCAUAGAACCUGGUUUCUUUUUUUUUUUUCUGUGUGGACAGAAGCUGGUUUCUGGAAUUCUACUUCUGUGCAUGCCACCGAAAAUUGUAAGCUUACAAGUAAAGUUAUGACUAUCCAUUUUCCAUGGUGGGUGUGACAAAUAUAUACGAACGAGUUAUCUUUUUAAUUCUCAUCAUAUAUAUUUUUCUUAGAGUGCUAUUUAAUUUUUAUUAAUUUCCUGCCAAGCAAUGGAUUUAAUUCCUAACUAGGGUUCUUCAAAAUACUCGAAACACUUUCUUGGAGUGUAUGCACAUAAAAAGAGAAUGAGUAAGGAGCUUAAUUUAAUUUCUCAGAACCUAAAGCCAUGCACAUUUUGGUUGAAAUCUCUGUGAGUGUGAGAGUAAAGGGUGGGUGGAAUCGGUUGACCCGAUUUGACAAAAGGGGUUCAACUGUUCAAAAAUCUGGAAAACGAAAUCUUAAAUAUGUGUUUCUUUUAAGUGAAACAACUGGCUGAGACCUAAUAAGAGACGUAGCUGAGUUGCCUCUCAUAGUCUCAUUUGAUCUGGAAUAUUAAUAUUGCAAGUACGAAAAGAUAAAUCUUUGCAUACAAGAAUUCAGAAGUGGACACCAAUCCUUGUCCAAAUCUCACGUUUCAGCGCAAUAAUAUUGUACAGAAAUUCUAUGCAUGCUGAAUUUAGUAAAAAACGGUUGGCUGCAGGUUACAUAUUUGUCAAUACACCAGGAUUGGCCAAUCCACACGGCAAGGGCUUCUUCACUCCCAUUGAUUUGCACGCAUGUGGAUCGAUUUUCCUUAGAGAAAUUUUAUUUGAAUCUAUGUAAAUAACAUAUGUAAUUGAUUUUUU
RNAcentral lists this long non-coding RNA (3109 nucleotides) under Malus domestica (apple). Its description in RNAcentral is "long non-coding RNA (MDOM_LNC002439)". Lineage: Eukaryota; Viridiplantae; Streptophyta; Magnoliopsida; Rosales; Rosaceae. The record is from RNAcentral.